This 957-nucleotide long non-coding RNA is filed under the name Salvia miltiorrhiza (redroot sage). Its description in RNAcentral is "long non-coding RNA (SMIL_LNC008378)". Lineage: Eukaryota; Viridiplantae; Streptophyta; Magnoliopsida; Lamiales; Lamiaceae. The record is from RNAcentral.
GACACCAUUUAACAGAAAGCUCCUUUAUUCCAUAAAUAAAUUCAACAUACAUGUAAAGCUUCAUACAGAAGUAGAACAUACAUAUAAAAACAUCUCCCUCGACUUUAUUAAUUCCCUAAACCUGCAAUUCUGUAAAUUGCAUUAUUUUUUAGCACACUUCUAAGUUAAGGAGGGAAAAUUAUUACACAAAAUAGAUAAGUACUAGUAUUACAUGUAGAGAGAACCCUUUAUUACCUAAAAUUAUCCAGUCCUCAGCCUCCAACAAUUCCAAGAAAAAUCACAUCAUUUCUUCAUCACGCAUGAAUAGCUCUCAAUUUCGAUCUCUGUCAUAGCCCUCCACACAUAUAUAUAUAAUUCUCUCCCUCAAUUUGCCAACAAAAAACCCAAUGGAAUCUCACCAUCUAGGUUAAAAAACAUGAAAAAAGGAGUGGCAUUUCUAGAGAGAGGCAUAUAUAUAUUGGAGAAGCUAGGACAAAAGAAGCAAUUGCAGAAAAGCCUUCCACACCGAUCAUGCAGUUUCUGGCUCUUAAAAGUUUCUUGGAAUUCUGAUCAUGCGAGAGACUAAUAUAUAUUAUAAAAAUAAAAGGGAAAAUUAAUUACUAUAGAUAUAUGUAUAGGGGGGAAAUGGAAGGUUGGUUAUAUAUCAUCUCCUUGAAUAUACCAGCAGAGAAGCAUAGUGGCGCAGCGGCGGAGGAUAUAGAUGCGAGCUCGUUGUUCUUUAACUAAAGAAGAGCAUUUUCGUGUGAACCCAUGUGCUCUUUUUGAUGUACUGUAGUUGUUCUUCACUUCACCCAUUUUUGUUUUUUUUUUUUUUCUCGAGUCCCUUGAUGAGAAAGGGGAAAAUGGAAGGUUGGGUAAAAAGCUCACAAAUGAGUGGAGCUGGACCCUAAUUAGAAAAAAAUGGAGUUACUGAGUUUGAAAUAUACAUAUAGACAUAGGGUGGGAGGUGGAGUUGAA